UGAGGAAUAUUGGGCAAUGCCCGCAAGGGUGACCCAGCAACGCCGCGUGGAGGAUGAAUGUCGUAAGAUUGUAAACUCCUGUUAGAGGGGAAGAAUAGUACCGGUUGGACCGGUAUAUGACUGUACCCUCAGAGAAAGCCCCGGCUAACUACGUGCCAGCAGCCGCGGUAAUACGUAGGGGGCAAGCGUUGUCCGGAUUUAAUGGGUGUAAAGGGCGCGCAGGCGGGAUAAAAAGUCAGUGGUGAAAUCCUACAGCUUAACUGUAGAACUGCCUUUGAUACUUUUAUUCUUGAGUUCGGGAGAGAGAGACGGAAUUCCAGGUGUAGUGGUGAAAUACGUAGAUAUCUGGAAGAACACCAGUUGCGAAGGCGGUCUCUUGGUCCGACACUGACGCUGAGGCGCGAAAGCGUGGGGAGCAGACA
RNAcentral lists this ribosomal RNA (422 nucleotides) under uncultured bacterium. Its description in RNAcentral is "bacterial SSU rRNA". It matches the Rfam family "Bacterial small subunit ribosomal RNA", at positions 355 to 774 of the family's 1533-position model. The record is from RNAcentral.